Molecule: non-coding RNA, 485 nt
Organism: Gadus macrocephalus (Pacific cod)
Lineage: Eukaryota; Metazoa; Chordata; Actinopteri; Gadiformes; Gadidae
Source: the annotation of a RefSeq genome assembly
AUGGUGCCCACCCAGCCUCCUGUCCCGGGGCUGGGGGGGCCCACUCUGGUGUGCCUGGCUAAGGGCCUCCACCCGGCCGGGGCCGCCCUGUCCUGGUCCGAGGACGGAGCCUCUGUGAGGGGCGAGGAGGUCCAGGCGGGCGUGGCCCAGCGACAGCCUGAUGGAAGCUACUCCCUUAGCAGCGUCCUCCUGCUGCCCUCCACAAGGUGGCGCUCAGGACACACCUUCACCUGCCAUGUGAGCCACUCUGCUCUCAGCAGCCCGCUGAGCAAGAGUGUGAGCAGCCAGCAGUGCUCCCUCUGACAGAGGACGAGAAGAUACAGGGAGCGCUACAGGAGGACGACAUGAGGAGAAAUAGAGUAGAGUACGCAACCUUUUAGCGGCUUGGUUGGCCUGAGAUCCAGGCUCAUGUCCUUCAGCUCCGAGUGAAAUACUUCACCAUGUUUUAAUGCUUUACUGUGUUCAAUAAAACUGCUUCAUCAUGA